This 197-nucleotide long non-coding RNA is filed under the name Canis lupus familiaris (dog). RNAcentral describes it as "lncRNA (ENSCAFG00040004295.1)". The record is from RNAcentral. Lineage: Eukaryota; Metazoa; Chordata; Mammalia; Carnivora; Canidae.
GCCGCCGUCGUCGGCGUGUCCGAGGAGCGGGUGGUGGAAGAAGUCGGCAAGGGAGGCGCACCCGUGCCCCUGGCGGGGGCGCGGGCGCCUCGUCUUCCUUUCCCCUCUCCUCUCCUCCCCCCCUCGCCGCGCCGGCGGGGGGUGGGUGGCGUGGGGCGGUGUGACUCGGAGGACUUGGCGAGCGCUCGGGGUUGCCC